RNAcentral lists this ribosomal RNA (475 nucleotides) under Vibrio sp. HR08-30. Its description in RNAcentral is "bacterial SSU rRNA". It matches the Rfam family "Bacterial small subunit ribosomal RNA", at positions 196 to 653 of the family's 1533-position model. The record is from RNAcentral. Lineage: Bacteria; Pseudomonadati; Pseudomonadota; Gammaproteobacteria; Vibrionales; Vibrionaceae.
ACGGGNCAAAGAGGGGGACCUUCGGGCCUCUCGCGUCAGGAUAUGCCUAGGUGGGAUUAGCUAGUUGGUGAGGUAAUGGCUCACCAAGGCGACGAUCCCUAGCUGGUCUGAGAGGAUGAUCAGCCACACUGGAACUGAGACACGGUCCAGACUCCUACGGGAGGCAGCAGUGGGGAAUAUUGCACAAUGGGCGCAAGCCUGAUGCAGCCAUGCCGCGUGUGUGAAGAAGGCCUUCGGGUUGUAAAGCACUUUCAGUCGUGAGGAAGGUAGUGUAGUUAAUAGCUGCAUUAUUUGACGUUAGCGACAGAAGAAGCACCGGCUAACUCCGUGCCAGCAGCCGCGGUAAUACGGAGGGUGCGAGCGUUAAUCGGAAUUACUGGGCGUAAAGCGCAUGCAGGUGGUUUGUUAAGUCNNAUGUGAAAGCCCGGGGCUCAACCUCGGAAUAGCAUUUGAACUGGCAGACUAGAGUACUGUA